Molecule: ribosomal RNA, 478 nt
Filed under: uncultured bacterium
Lineage: Bacteria
Description: SSU rRNA
Rfam family: Bacterial small subunit ribosomal RNA
Source: RNAcentral
AGAAUCAACGCUGGCGCGGUGCCUAACGACGAUGCAAGUCGAACGAGAAAGUGGAGCAAUCCAUGAGUAAAGUGGCGACCGGGUGAGUAACACGUGACUAACCUACCUUCGAGUGGGGGAUAACCUCGGGAAACCGGGGCUAAUACCGCAUAAAAUCUUUGGAUCGGAAGAACUGGAGAUCAAUGGAGCAAUUCGCUUGAAGAGGGGGUCGCGGCUGAUUAGCUAGUUGGCGGGGUAAUGGCCCACCAAGGCUUUGAUCGGUAGCCGGCCUGAGAGGGCGCACGGCCACACUGGAACUGAAACACGGUCCAGACUCCUACGGGAGGCAGCAGUGGGGAAUUUUGCGCAAUGGGGAAACCCUGACGCAGCAACGCCGCGUGGAGGAUGAAGUCCCUUGGGACGUAAACUCCUUUCGACCGGGACGAUUAUGACGGUACCGGUGGAAGAACGCCCCGGCUAACUUCGCGCCAGCAGCCGC